UGGGGAAUUGUUCGCAAUGGGCGCAAGCCUGACGACGCAACGCCGCGUGGAGGACGAAGAUCUUCGGGUCGUAAACUCCUGUCGAGCGGGACGAAUGUUCCGCGGGCUAACAUCCCGUGGAAGUGACGGUACCGCUAAAGGAAGCCCCGGCUAACUCCGUGCCAGCAGCCGCGGUAAUACGGGGGGGGCAAGCGUUGUUCGGAAUUACUGGGCGUAAAGGGCUCGUAGGCGGCCAACUAAGUCGGAUGUGAAAUCCCCAGGCUCAACUUGGGAACUGCAUCCGAUACUGGAUGGCUUGAAUUCGGGAGAGGGAUGCAGAAUUCCAGGUGUAGCGGUGAAAUGCGUAGAUAUCUGGAGGAAUACCGGUGGCGAAGGCGGCAUCCUGGACCGACAUUGACGCUGAGGAGCGAAAGCCAGGGGAGCAAAC
Molecule: ribosomal RNA, 427 nt
Filed under: uncultured bacterium
Lineage: Bacteria
Description: bacterial SSU rRNA
Rfam family: Bacterial small subunit ribosomal RNA
Source: RNAcentral